GACGAACGCUGGCGGCGUGCUUAACACAUGCAAGUCGAACGAUGAAGCCUAGCUUGCUAGGUGGAUUAGUGGCGAACGGGUGAGUAAUACGUGAGUGACCUACCUUUGACUCUGGGAUAAGCCUGGGAAACUGGGUCUAAUACCGGAUACGACCAAUCUCCGCAUGGGGUGUUGGUGGAAAGCGUUAUGGAGUGGUUUUAGAUGGGCUCACGGCCUAUCAGCUUGUUGGUGAGGUAAUGGCCUACCAAGGCGACGACGGGUAGCCGGCCUGAGAGGGUGACCGGCCACACUGGGACUGAGACACGGCCCAGACUCCUACGGGAGGCAGCAGUGGGGAAUAUUGCACAAUGGGCGCAAGCCUGAUGCAGCGACGCCGCGUGAGGGAUGACGGCCUUCGGGUUGUAAACCUCUGUUAGCAUCGAAGAAGCGAAAGUGACGGUAGGUGCAGAGAAAGCGCCGGCUAACUACGUG
Molecule: ribosomal RNA, 471 nt
Filed under: uncultured bacterium
Lineage: Bacteria
Description: partial 16S ribosomal RNA
Rfam family: Bacterial small subunit ribosomal RNA
Source: RNAcentral